Molecule: transfer RNA, 77 nt
Filed under: Francisella endosymbiont of Amblyomma maculatum
Lineage: Bacteria; Pseudomonadati; Pseudomonadota; Gammaproteobacteria; Thiotrichales; Francisellaceae
Also listed under: 8 other names
Description: tRNA-Met
Rfam family: tRNA
About the family: Transfer RNA (tRNA) molecules are approximately 80 nucleotides in length. Their secondary structure includes four short double-helical elements and three loops (D, anti-codon, and T loops). Further hydrogen bonds mediate the characteristic L-shaped molecular structure. tRNAs have two regions of fundamental functional importance: the anti-codon, which is responsible for specific mRNA codon recognition, and the 3' end, to which the tRNAs corresponding amino acid is attached (by aminoacyl-tRNA synthetases). tRNAs cope with the degeneracy of the genetic code in two manners: having more than one tRNA (with a specific anti-codon) for a particular amino acid; and 'wobble' base-pairing, i.e. permitting non-standard base-pairing at the 3rd anti-codon position.
Source: RNAcentral
CGCGGGGUGGAGCAGCUUGGUAGCUCGUCGGGCUCAUAACCCGAAGGUCGCAGGUUCAAAUCCUGCCCCCGCUACCA